UACGGAGGGUGCGAGCGUUGUUCGGAAUUACUGGGCGUAAAGCGCGCGUAGGCUGUACUGAAAGUCGGGGGUGAAAGCCCUGGGCUCAACCCAGGAAUUGCCCUUGAUACUGCAAGUCUGGAGUACGAGAGAGGGGGGUGGAAGUCCUAGUGUAGAGGUGAAAUUCGUAGAUAUUAGGAAGAACACCGGUGGUGAAGGCGGCCCACUGGAUCGGUACUGACGCUGAGGUGCGAAAGCGUGGGGAGCAAACAGG
This 253-nucleotide ribosomal RNA is filed under the name uncultured bacterium. Its description in RNAcentral is "partial 16S ribosomal RNA". It matches the Rfam family "Bacterial small subunit ribosomal RNA", at positions 524 to 776 of the family's 1533-position model. The record is from RNAcentral.